CCAGACUCCUACGGGAGGCAGCAGUGGGGAAUAUUGCACAAUGGGCGCAAGCCUGAUGCAGCGACGCCGCGUGGGGGAUGACGGCCUUCGGGUUGUAAACUCCUUUCGCUAGGGACGAAGCGCAAGUGACGGUACCUGGAGAAGAAGCACCGGCUAACUACGUGCCAGCAGCCGCGGUAAUACGUAGGGUGCGAGCGUUGUCCGGAAUUACUGGGCGUAAAGAGCUCGUAGGUGGUUUGUCGCGUCGUUUGUGUAAGCCCGCAGCUUAACUGCGGGACUGCAGGCGAUACGGGCAUAACUUGAGUGCUGUAGGGGAGACUGGAAUUCCUGGUGUAGCGGUGGAAUGCGCAGAUAUCAGGAGGAACACCGAUGGCGAAGGCAGGUCUCUGGGCAGUAACUGACGCUGAGGAGCGAAAGCAUGGGUAGCGAACAGGAUUAGAUACCCUGGUAGUCCAUGCCGUAAACGGUGGGCGCUAGGUGUGAGUCCCUUCCACGGGGUUCGUGCCGUAGCUAACGCAUUAAGCGCCCCGCCUGGGGAGUACGGCCGCAAGGCUAAAACUCAAAGGAAUUGACGGGGGCCCGCACAAG
Molecule: ribosomal RNA, 588 nt
Filed under: uncultured bacterium
Lineage: Bacteria
Description: bacterial SSU rRNA
Rfam family: Bacterial small subunit ribosomal RNA
Source: RNAcentral